AUUCUGAGGGCAGCGCCGGUUCCCUGCGGUCAAGAUGCUGCAAAACGUGACUCCCCACAAGCUCCCUGGGGACGGGAAUGCAGGGUUACUGGGGCUGGGCCCAGAGGCAGCAGCACCAGGGAAAAGGAUUCGAAAGCCCUCCCUGUUGUAUUUGGGAUGUGAGAGCCCCACAAUGGCUUCAGUGCCAGCUUUACAACUGACCCUUGCCAACCCAACACCCCCAGAAGUGUCCAAACCCAAAAAGCCAGGACGAGUUACCAAUCUGCUGCAAUACCUACACAAAGUGGUAAUGAAGGCUCUGUUGAAACAUCAGUUUGCACGGUCAUUCCGGCAGCCUGUGGAUGCCGUCAAACUGGGUCUGCUGGAUUAUCACAAAAUUAUAAAACAGCCUAUGGACAUGGGUACUAUUAAGAGGAGACUUGAAAACAGUUAUUAUUGGGCUGCAUCAGAGUGUAUGCAAGAUUUUAAUACCAUGUUCACCAACUGUUAUAUUUACAACAAGCCCACUGACGAUAUUGUCCCGAUGGCACAAACGCUGGAAAAGAUCUUUCUACAGAAAGUGGCAUCAAUGCCACAAGAGAUGACCAUCCCUAACAACAGCCACAAGAAGGGGGCCAAGUUGUCAGCAAUCCAGGGCACUAUUACCAGUGCCCAUCAGGUGCCUGCUGUCUCUCCUGUAUCACAUACAGCCCUGUAUACUCCACCGCCUGAGCUACCUACCACUGUCCUCAACAUUCCCCAUCCAUCGGUCAUUUCUUCUCCCCUUCUCAAGUCCCUGCACUCUGCUGGACCCCCACUUCUUGCUGUUACUACAGCUCCCCCAGCCCAGCCCCUUGCCAAGAAAAAAGAUGUAAAGCGGAAAGCAGAUACUACCACCCCUACAUCUACAGCCAUCCUGGCUCCUCGUUCCCCAGCUAGUCGUCCUGGGGGUCUUGAACCUAAAGCAGCACGGAUGCCCCCUGUACGUAGAGAGAGGGAUCGUCCCAUCAAGCCACCACGCAAAGACUUGCCUGGCUCUCAGCAACAACACCAGAGCUCUAAGAAAGGAAAAUUAUCAGAACAGUUAAAACAUUGCAAUGGCAUUUUGAAAGAGUUAUUCUCCAAGAAGCAUGCUGCCUAUGCCUGGCCUUUCUAUAAACCAGUGGACGCUUCUGCUCUUGGCCUGCGUGAUUACCACGACAUCAUUAAGCACCCCAUGGACCUCAGCACUGUCAAGCAGAAGAUGGAGAAUCGCGAUUACCAGGAUGCACAGGAGUUUGCUGCUGAUGUGCAGCUUAUGUUCUCCAACUGCUAUAAGUACAAUCCCCCAGACCACGAUGUUGUGGCCGUGGCACGAAAGCUGCAGGAUGUAUUUGAGUUCCGUUAUGCCAAGAUGCCAGAUGAGCCACUGGAACCAAGGCCUUUACCAGUCUCUACUGCCUUGCCUCCUGGCCCGGCCAAAUCAUCUUCAGAGUCCUCCAGUGAAGAAAGUAGCAGUGAGAGUUCCUCUGAGGAAGAGAAGGAGGAAGAUAAAGAGGACGAGGAAGAAGAAGAGAGUGAAAGGUCAGACUCAGAGGAAGAAAGAGCUCAUCGCUUGGCUGAACUACAGGAACAGCUUCGGGCAGUACAUGAACAGCUAGCUGCCUUGUCCCAGGGGCCCAAUAUCCAAGCCCAAGUGGAAGAGAGGAAAAGGAGAGAAAAAGAAGAAACGGAAGACAGAGAAGCAUCGAGGCCGAGCUGGGGCUGAUGAAGAUGACAAGGGGCCAUGGGCACCUCGCCCCCCACAGCCCAAAAAGUCCAAGAAAGCAAGUGGCAGUGGGGGUGGGCAGUGCUGCUAUAGUUCCUUCUGGCUUUGGACCUUCUGGAGGAAGUGGCACGAAGCUGCCAAAAAAGGCCACAAAGACGGCCCCACCUGCCCUGCCUAUGGGUUAUGAUUCAGAGGAAGAGGAAGAGAGCAGGCCCAUGAGUUAUGAUGAGAAGCGGCAGUUGAGCCUGGAUAUCAACAAAUUACCUGGGGAGAAGCUGGGUCGAGUUGUGCAUAGAAUCCAAGCCAGGGAGCCCUCUUUGUGUGAUCCAAACCCAAAAGAGAUUGAGAUUGAUUGUGAAACACUCAAGCCAUCCACACUUAGAGAGUUUGAGUGCUAUGUCCUUUCCUGCCUGCGAAAGAAACCCCGGAAGCCUUACACUGUCAAGAAACCUAUGGGAAAGACAAAGGAGGAACUGCCUUUGGAGAAGAAGAGAGAUUAGAAAAGCGGUUACAGGAUGUCAGUGGGCAGCUCAACUCCACCAAAAAGCCCCCCAAAAAAGUGAGUGAGAAUAACAGAGUCGUCCUCUGCACAGCAAGUAGCAGUGUCAUGCCUCAGCGCUUCCAGCUCCAGCUCAGAUUCUAGCUCCUCCUCUUCAUCUUCCUCUUCCUCAGACACCAGUGAUUCAGACUCAGGCUAA
This is an RNA transcript of Propithecus coquereli (Coquerel's sifaka), 2424 nucleotides long. It is a transcript of the gene named bromodomain-containing protein 2 pseudogene, with no coding region annotated. The record is from RefSeq and is a predicted model, not a curated record. Lineage: Eukaryota; Metazoa; Chordata; Mammalia; Primates; Indriidae. The transcript has a single exon.